Molecule: RNA transcript, 3890 nt
Organism: Hippopotamus amphibius kiboko
Lineage: Eukaryota; Metazoa; Chordata; Mammalia; Artiodactyla; Hippopotamidae
Gene name: zinc finger protein 345
Exons: 3
Source: RefSeq, a predicted model, not a curated record
UUGUUUCAAGUAGAGUGGAGCGGUGCUGCCCAGACCAUAGGAGUCGUAGCUCUUCUCUGCUUGCACAGAGUCUUCCAGAGUGGAAUAGAGAAUGGCUGUUGAACAUCCACAAGGCACCCGCAAGAUGCAGAAAUGGCAUUUAACACCCAUUUGUGCAAACAAUUAUAAAGACCACUGAUGUAAGGAAUACCCAGGUCAAGAAAAAGAAUGCAGCCAUCUCUAAAGCAGCCUCUGAUGUACCCCUUCACAAUCAAAAACAAUUAUGCUCUUUUGGCGAUAACCACUCUGAUCAUUUCUUUGUCUUUCAUUACAGCCUUGAUAUGAAUUGCAAAACCACAUAGGUUUAGUUUUUGUCUGUUUUCUCUCUUUGUAUGAAUAGACAUUCUUUUAUGUCUUUUUCAUUAAAAAUGUUUGUGAGCUUCAUUUAUAUUUCCUACACAGUUCAUUUUUUCUAUUGCUUUGUAUAUGCUAUCUCAUAUAUAAUAGUCUCAAUUUACUACUUAUCAUUUCUACUCUUCAUGGACAUUUGACUUGCUUCCAGUGUUUGGCUGUUAUAAGUAAUGUGAUUAUGAAUAUUUUGUGCACAUAUUUUGGUACACAUGUGCUUGUAUUUCUUUAAUAUAUAUACUAAAAUUGUAAUUAAAUUGUUGAGGGCUAUGGUUUGUGCAUCUUCAGUUUUACUAGACAAUGCCAGACUGUUCUCUAAAAAUACUGUGUAUGUUUUUUACUUGUAUCAGCAGUUUACAAAGGUUCCUUUUGUUUCAUAGUCAUGCCAGCUCCUGGCAUCGUCACACUUUAAAAUUUUUGCCAAUUUGGUAGAUAUCUAGUGUUAUCACAUUUAAUUGGUAUGCCUAUAAUUAUCAAUGAAAUUUAACACUAAUUCUCACUUGUCUGGAAUCCUCUUUUGUGAAAUGCUUGUUCAAAUAUUUCACCAAUUUUUAACUGGGUUGUUUUUCUCAGAUUUAUAGCAGUUGAAUAGGUGUAUAAAAUAUAUAUACAUCAUAUGUAUCUUCUAUAUUUUAGUUUACUGUCAAUUGCACAUGUGACAAAUAUUAUCUUCUACUCUGGCUUGGUUUCUCACUCUGGUGCCUUCUGGUGAAUAGAGGUUUUGGAUUUCAGUGUGAUGAAAUCUUUUUCAAUAGUGCUUGUUUAAGAAAUUUUCUGCUGCCUUGAGGUAAUGAAGAUUUUCUUGUGUUUUCUUCUAAAAGCUUCCUAGUUUUUAGCUUUAACAUUUAUGUUUUUACACUUCCUGGGAUUGAUUUGUGUAGGGUAGGGAUUCAGUUUCAUUUUAUCCCCCAUGUGAGUAUCCAAUUGCUACAGUAUCAUUUAUUGAAAAGUUCUUCUUUUGUACACUAAGCUGCAGUGCCAUUGUAGUCAAAAGUCAAGUGACUGUUAUGGCUACAUCUGUUUCUGGACUUUAUAUUUUGUUCCAUUGCUUUAUCUCCCCUUGCAGCAAUACUAUGCUAUCUUAUUCGCUGUAACUUCAUAAUAUUUGAAGAAAGUCCUCUUACCUUCUCAUUCCUCAUAUUUCUUGGCUAUUUGUGUUCCUUUGCAUUCCAUAUACAGUUUUGAAAUAGUUUGGUUCCAGUCAAACAUCUUUUGGGAUUUUGAUUGAAUUGCAUUGCGUCUAUAAUUAUGUGAGUAAAAAUUUGGGGAAUCGUCCAAUAACAUGAAUCGCUCAGUUAAUAUUACGUCUUCUACGUGUUUCUCAGCAAGGUCUUGAUUGUCUCUUGGCAGGGACUUCCUUGGUGGUCCAGUGCUUAAGACUCUGUGCUCAUAAUUUAAGGGGCAGGGGUUAGAUCCCUGGUCAGGGAACUAAGAUCCCAUGUGCCCACGGUAUGGCCAGAAAAGAAAAAUAGUCCUUGGCAAAUAGGAAUAAUUUAAUCCAUUGUGUGUAGUAUUUCCCUUUUGCAUUGACUGCCAGGAAUUUGAGCACUAAAGAAAUGAUCAAUUGUAGUAAUAAUCUUAGCCUGGGUUUUUGACACUGAGUACCUAUGAAGUAUGACCUUUGUGUAUGAUUUAAAUUUUUUUCUUUUGUUCUUAGCCUCCUCAAAUACAUUUUUGGAAGUGGGGGAUAUGAAAAUGAGAUAUAGACUUAGAUACAGAUAUAGAUAUUUAUUGCCUAAUAUUUUUAUUUUAAUAACAUUCUGGUCUAAUCAAGUCAGUUUUAUAUGGUACCAUUUACUCUUCUCCCUAUAUUUCUUUUUUAACUCCCCUUUCCACUCUCUUCCCCAGCCCCCUCAACCCCCUGCCCCCACUAUCCUCUGUCAGGCAGUUUCUGCCUCUGCCUCUUCGCCAUCUAUUCUCACUAACCUUUUGGUUUAAAUAUUGGCUCCAUCAGGAAAAAAACAACAAAUCAUCCCUCAGCUACAGCACCUAUGAGCUGUUUAACCUGUAGGUUCUCAUUCUCAGUGUUGUUGAGAAUGAAAUAAGAUGUGUAGAACACUUGGUACACAUCAGAAAUUCAAUAAAUGUUAACUCCCCCUCCUUUAUUUCUCAUUCUUGGGACCUUUAAAUAAAUUAUGGUUGAAAGUGAUUGCCUAAAAGUCUUUUGGUGGGUCCCCAAAGAUUUUUUUUUUAUUGUUGAGGUACAAUUGGCAUAUAACUUUAUAUUUGUUUCACGUAUACAAUGUAAUGAUUCAAUUUUUUCCCCCAAAAUUCAAUAUUUGUAUAUACAGUUGAUCCUUAAUGUGGAGAUUGGGAACGCUGAUUCUGUGCAAUCAAAAAUCUGCAUGUAACUUAUAGUCGGUCCUCCAUAUCCAUGGUUCCUCUGUAUCUGCAUUCUCAGAUUUAACCAACCACAGAUCCUGUAGUACUGUAGUAUUUACUACUGAAAUAAAUCCGCAUAUAAGUGGAACUACUCAGUUCAAACCCAUGUUGUUCGAGGGUCAACUGUAUUGCAAAAUGAUCACCACAGUAAGUCUAGUUAACAUCAUCACCAUUCAUAGUUAAAAUUUUUUUUCUUCUAACUUUCAAGAUUUACUCUCUUAGCGGCUUUCAAAUGCAGUAUAGUAUUAUUGUACACCAUGCUGUACAUUAUAUCCGCAAGACUUAUUUAUUUUAUAACUGGAAUUUUAUACCUUUUGACCCCCUUUACCCAUUUCACCCACCCCCACCCCCACCCCCUGACUCUGGCAACCAACAGUCUGUUCUCUGUAUCUUUGAGCUUGGUUUUUAUUUGCUUAUUUGUUUAAAUUCCACAUAUGACUGAGAUCAUAGGGUAUUCUUCUUUCUCUGUCUUUCUUACUUCACUUAACAUAAUACCCUCAAGGUCCAUCCACGUAGUUGCAAAUGGCAAGAUUUUAUUAUUUUUCAUGGCUGAAUAGUAUUCCAUUGUGCAUUGCCUACCUGUUAUAUUAUUUAAAUAGUUUGUAUUAUCUGUUUGAAUUUUUAAAAUUUAUGUCUCCGUGCUUGUACCUGUGCCAUGUUUUAGAUCAUUUCUUUUUUAAAAUCUAUGUCACUUUUCUGAAGAUAGCUGUAUUCUCUAUUUCUUUCAUUACAAAAUAAGUAUUUAUUACAACAAAUUUGGAAAAUACAGAGAAGCACAAAUAAGUAACAAAAGUUAUCUGUAAUCCCGUCAAUUAAAGACAACUGCUGUCAAUGCUUAGAAUUUGUUUCUAAAUGUGAUCAUACUAUGGCUACUGACCUGUAACCUGUCUUUAUCAUACCAAAAUACAUUGUGAACAACUGUCCAUGUCUUUACACAUUUAUCUUUACCAUGAAUUGUAAUGGCCUUAUCAGGUUACCAAUUUACUAAGCCCCCUUUUUUGAACAUGGUUUGCUUACAAAUUACUGCUAUUAUAAACAAUGAACAUCUCCUUAGGCCAAAUGCUACUGUUUUCCUUUUUAAAUUUUAUCUUUAGUUAAAUUAUAUAUAUUUUUUUCUUUAU